GGGGAAUAUUGCACAAUGGGGGAAACCCUGAUGCAGCAACGCCGCGUGAGUGAUGAAGGCCUUAGGGUUGUAAAGCUCUGUUAUCUGGGACGAUAAUGACGGUACCAGAGGAGGAAGCCACGGCUAACUACGUGCCAGCAGCCGCGGUAAUACGUAGGUGGCGAGCGUUGUCCGGAUUUACUGGGCGUAAAGAGUGCGUAGGCGGAUGUUUAAGUGAGAUGUGAAAUACCCGAGCUCAACUUGGGUGCUGCAUUUCAAACUGGGCAUCUAGAGUGCAGGAGAGGAAAGCGGAAUUCCUAGUGUAGCGGUGAAAUGCGUAGAGAUUAGGAAGAACACCAGUGGCGAAGGCGGCUUUCUGGACUGUAACUGACGCUGAGGCACGAAAGCGUGGGGAGCAAAC
Molecule: ribosomal RNA, 400 nt
Filed under: uncultured bacterium
Lineage: Bacteria
Description: bacterial SSU rRNA
Rfam family: Bacterial small subunit ribosomal RNA
Source: RNAcentral